UGGAUUCGCUUCUUUCAAAGUGGGGAUUAUGUUCUUCUAGUGAACAUGUUUGCAAGUGCUAGCCAAUGGAACAAAGUGACAAGAGUGAGAGAGCCAAUGAGAAACAGAGGAGUUCAGAAACCAGAGCCAGGUAAGAAGUUCUGGAAUGUGUUUCAUCUGCAGCCUAUGCGUGAUCAGAAGGUACAAUUCCAAAAAAAAAUAUCAUCUAAUUUCACAUUAUUUCCAUUGCUUUAUGAUUAUACAAUUCCAAAAAAAUGAGAACCAGAGGUUAACAGUACACAGACUGCUGAAAUUGAUGUUUAACCAAUAGAUCACUACUAUGAUGCCUUAGGAGGGCCUGAAUUGGAUACUCUCAGGCAAGUGUGGAGUGCUACUAAUUUGGAGAGAUCUGACAUAAAUAAAGUCUUCUAUUGGUACGAGAGCAUAAUCAAGUUCUCAAAUCUGCACUU
Molecule: long non-coding RNA, 449 nt
Organism: Magnolia sinica
Lineage: Eukaryota; Viridiplantae; Streptophyta; Magnoliopsida; Magnoliales; Magnoliaceae
Exons: 3
Source: RefSeq, a predicted model, not a curated record